CCAAUAGCGUAUAUUAAAGUUGUUGCAGUUAAAAAGCUCGUAGUUGAAUUUCGGGAUUAGUACGUUGGUCGUGCCUUGGUACGUACUGGUGUAACUGAUUCCUCCCUUCUGACGAACCGUUAUGCCAUUAAUUUGGUGUGGCGGGAAAUCAGGACUGUUACUUUGAAAAAAUUAGAGUGUUUAAAGCAGGCUCGCGCUUGAAUACAUUAGCAUGGAAUAAUGAAAUAGGACGUUAAUCCUAUUUUGUUGGUUUCUAGGAUCGACGUAAUGAUUAAUAGGGAUAGUUGGGGGCAUUAGUAUUCAAUUGUCAGAGGUGAAAUUCUUGGAUUUAUUGAAGACUAACUACUGCGAAAGCAUUUGCCAAGGAUGUUUUCAUUAAUCAAGAACGAAAGUUAGGGGAUCGAAGACGAUCAGAUACCGUCGUAGUCUUAACCAUAAACUAUGCCGACUAGGGAUCGGAUGAUGUUAAUUUUUUAAUGACUCAUUCGGCGCCUUACA
This 498-nucleotide unclassified non-coding RNA is filed under the name uncultured Glomus. RNAcentral describes it as "SSU rRNA". It matches the Rfam family "Eukaryotic small subunit ribosomal RNA", at positions 591 to 1092 of the family's 1831-position model. The record is from RNAcentral. Lineage: Eukaryota; Fungi; Glomeromycota; Glomeromycetes; Glomerales; Glomeraceae.